Molecule: ribosomal RNA, 255 nt
Filed under: uncultured bacterium
Lineage: Bacteria
Description: partial 16S ribosomal RNA
Rfam family: Bacterial small subunit ribosomal RNA
Source: RNAcentral
UACGGAGGGUGCGAGCGUUGUCCGGAAUCAUUGGGCGUAAAGGGCGCGUUAGGUGGCCCCUCAAGCGUGCGGUGAAAGUCAGGGGCUCAACCCCUGAUCGGCCGUGCGAACUGGGGAGCUUGAGCACUGUAGAGGCAGGCGGAAUUCCGGGUGUAGCGGUGAAAUGCGCAGAUAUCAGGAGGAACACCGGUGGCGAAGGCGGGUCUCUGGGCCGGAUAUUGACGCUGAGGAGCGAAAGCGUGGGGAGCGAACAGG